UGGAUUCUUUCAUUUCUCUUGAGCAUUUGAACAAUUAAGCCCUUACAAAACUCCUAAAGCCGCACAAGCAUGAACAAUCUGAUGCUUUUGGGUCCUGGGGAACAGGACAAUGACUGGAGCAGCUGAGAUCAGGCAUGAAUGUAUCACAGAGUGCCUUGUUGGAGUGCAGCAUGGUCCUGGCAGGAGGAGUGGGGUUCUGCAGAGGAUAGGGUGGUGGAGAGCCCUCUAGAACGUGUACAGUAAUGUGCCUUGCAGAAGCUAGGCAUGAACAGCUGUGGAAUGGGAAAGGCUGUACAACCCGUGGAGCUGUAAUGUGAGAACUGUGAGUGGGGCCAUCAGCUGAGACUGCUAGUGUUGGAGGUCAGGAGUGUGGUGAUGCCUUUCAGGAUGUGCCCUCAGAGGGUGACUUGGGUGAGGGGCAGAAGAGACCCAGCACCCACACUACAUAAUUACAGAGGGGCUGGGAGUGAAAUCCACUAGCAUUUAGUGUCAGAUAGGCAGGGGUCAGGUCUGCUUCCAGACUCAAGAGUAUGCCUGUGAGCAUGUAAAACUCUUAAGCCAAGAAAUCUGAACCUAUAGAAAUGCUAAGGACAUUUCUGGGAGUACAACUACCUAUCAUUGUAUUUCAAAGUUUCUAGUAUUAAAAAUUUUCCAUGCAAGAUCUUUGGGGCCCUCAGAGUAGCACAGCAUGAAAGGAUUGUACCCAGCUUCCUGAAUAUGAGUUGUGAACACUCUGGCACUGGGAAGUCACCUGACAUUUGGUUUUGCCAAAAACCUGCAAUUAGCAUUUUCCCCUACUUUUACUAGAAGUGAUCUGGGAAACACACAAGCUAGUCCCAGAAGCUGGGUGGAUUCAGAACCCUGCACUCAUGUAUUAUAGGUGAUGGCAGCUGUGUAAACUGUGAGCACUCUUGGAGAUGGGGCUCCCUGGCCAUGCUUCAUAUGCCCCUUGCCAACAGAUAGCACUGAAGCUCUGGUCCAGGCUAGUGUGCAAACAGGCUGGCUGCCCAUGAAGCUGCUACGUGAACACACCCAGGUGUGCAGGAGAGCCAGCUGCCCAUGCUCACAGCACCACUGCCAUGGCGGGGGGGCGGGGGGGGGGGGUUGCUGCAGGAAGCCAGAAGAGCCAUGGUGCUAGAUUCUAGCCAGAAAUGAUACCAAAGAAAUAAGCCUUUCUGUCCCGAUGCUUCUUAGAUGGUGAGGCUAAGUGUGAUAGACACCAGGGAGGGGAAUCCACGUACAUUCCAUAUCAACUAUUCAGCUGGCAAAGUAAGUCCAUCCUCAAAAAAGCACCUAUUCUCUUUAAGAAGUCCAUUUUGUAUAUCAGAAGAGAAAACAUGAUGAUGGUAGAAGCCCAAGGCAGAUAGUGAAGUCCCUGGUGUCUAAGGACAAGGAACUCUUCCUCCUUACCAUAGCAUGACUGUGGCCCAGACCUCAGCAUGGGAACAUCUGAGGGCUGAAUGUUUUUUUAAAGACAUAAGGUAGUUUCAGUAGAUUCGUUUAAAGAACUCUUGGGAAUUUUCUUAUCACAUUGUACCAUUUUUAUAAACCUUCCUAUAGAGGUGUUUACCAUUCAACAUCCUUCCAUUUAGCAUUUAUAAGUGCCCAGACUGUACAAGGUGCUAUACAGCUGUUACACAGCUCCUCUCCACAGCUGUUGGAAAUUAGCAUAGACCUCUGCAUCCACCACUGCCGGAAGCUUUGCCUGCCCAGGGGGCUGCAGAGGCCUGCAUUCCAAAACCCCAUCCACACCCCACUCCUAAGGACUCCCAGUCUCUUCCCCAUCCCACACAUCCUCAUGGUUUUUUUAAAUCAAGAAAGUUUCAGGGAAUCCAAAGAGGUCGGAAAUUUUUUAACAUAGCAGAACUACAGAAGUAUAUAUUUUGCUACGAAUAUUAUUCUAGUACAGGAAAUCCACUUUGCCCGUUAGUGUAUGGCUAGUGUGUGUGUCUGCAGUCUCGAUCACUUGAAUGUUGCACCGGCCCUGGGGCUUCAGGGUGGCCUUGCAGGAAGGUUAUCCACACUGCUUCAGGAAGCCUGCUCCAGCACUAUGCGGUCAUCCCUUCCCUUGGCGACUAAAGAGUGCUGUGUGUGAACAUGGGGCUGGGAUUUCUGUGGAUGAUAUGCAGGGCAUUUUGGUGUGAGAUCAAGGCAGAAGCAAGACGUCUGCCAUCUGAAUCGUGACGGCCCUCAUUCCAAUCUAAUUCUUCGUGGCACUGCCCACAUGCUAUAUUUGAAAAUCUUGUUCCUCUUGCUCUUUCUAGAGCUUCACCUCUCCACUUACAUAUUAUAGAGUUGUAUAACUCUACCAAUAACAGGUCCCCUCUGUCACCAGUGGCGCCGCCCUUUGGUUUGCUGUGGUACUUUGCUGUGUACUCUGUGGCAUCGUGUUACUAUGUAAAUAAACUCAUUUUAAUAUGCAC
This is a long non-coding RNA of Heterocephalus glaber (naked mole-rat), 2423 nucleotides long. The record is from Ensembl. Lineage: Eukaryota; Metazoa; Chordata; Mammalia; Rodentia; Bathyergidae.